UUGUCUAAGAAAUGGGCUUUUUUGUUUCUUAUGCUGACAGUUGUAUUCUAGCUCUGAGUCCUGUGAGAAUGUGCUGGUGUGGCCAGUGAAAUACAGUCUUUAUAUCAAUUUAAUAAUGAUACUUGAUGAACUUGCUCAGAAACACCAAGAGGUAACUGUGCUUGUCACCUUCAGCUUCCAUCCUCAUUGAUUCCAACAAUUUGCUGUUAAAUUUGAGGUUUAUCCCACAUCUUUUACUGAGAAUGAACUUGAUUUCAUUUUUAUGAAAUUGAUCAAGAUAUGGACAUACAAGUUUCCAAAGAGUACAUUUUGGCAUAUGAUUCAAAGAUACAAAAAACACAUAUUAUGAAUGUUCUGAUACUGUUCAAAAGCUCUGUGAGUAUGCUGUUUUGAACAAGAAACUUAUAAGGAACAACAAGAUUCCAGAAUUUAUGUCAUUCUUGCAGAUGUCAUUUCUCAUUAGUGAGCUGCUAUCUGAACAGCUUAAUCUGUUAAACAUUUGUUAUACAUUUGGUCUACUAUCAUCCAUUUACAACUGGCAGUAUGUACCAAGAACUCUGUGGAGGACUUUCAUUACCUCCUUCUGAUGUAGCUGUUGUCAUGUCAGAACUUAGUACCAAAAUACAUUUACAGAAAGAUGAAAAAUCUUUUGCAUUUUCUUCAUUUUAACUUUGCAUUUGAUAAUUUUAACAAAAAGAAGUGUGAUCAGUUUUACAGUGAAGUAUUAGGUAAG
RNAcentral lists this long non-coding RNA (733 nucleotides) under Homo sapiens (human). RNAcentral's name for it is "non-protein coding lnc-UGT2B10-1:1". Lineage: Eukaryota; Metazoa; Chordata; Mammalia; Primates; Hominidae. The record is from RNAcentral.